Molecule: long non-coding RNA, 315 nt
Filed under: Setaria viridis
Lineage: Eukaryota; Viridiplantae; Streptophyta; Magnoliopsida; Poales; Poaceae
Description: long non-coding RNA (SVIR_LNC007238)
Source: RNAcentral
GAGGGCCGGUAGGAAAAGUUCCAGGGGAUUAUUCAGAUGAGGUUAAGGAUUUUCGGUUUUAAAAAUAGAUUUAAAUAAAUUGCCACACCAUUUAAUUCACUCAAAAUUGUAGAAGUACCCAAAAAUAGUGAAAUAAAUUUUUCUAGGUUUGUUUUAAUCUCCUUUAUACAUUAAAAUUGUUAAAACUUAAUUACAUAUAGAAAAAUUUUGGGUGUUUAUUUAGUGCCUUUAAUUAAAGGUAUUAAAUAAAUACUUAAUAAUUCCAAAAUACAUAAAAUAUGAAAUAUUGCUUUUCUAAUUAAAAAUUAACCAUAA